AGGGCAGACGGUGGAUGCCUUGGCUCUCGGAGGCGACGAAGGACGUGAUAAGCUGCGAAAAGCCCGGUUGAGGUGCAAAUAACCCUUGACGCCGGGAUAUCCGAAUGGGGAAACCCGAUUGGUGGAAGACCAAUCACAUCGAAAGAUGAGCGAACGUGGGGAACUGAAACAUCUAAGUACCCAUAGGAAGAGAAAAUAAUAAUGAUUGCGUAAGUAGUGGCGAGCGAACGCGCAAGAGCCCAAACCAUAGAUGUUUUGGCAUCAUAUGGGGUUGUAGGAUCGCAAUGUGGCAAGAAACAAAAGAAGUGGAACCCGCUGGAAAGAGGGCCAUAGAGGGUGAAAGUCCCGUACACGAAUCUUUUGUGAAGCCUAGCGAUAUCCUGAGUAAGUCGGGACACGUGAAAUCCUGACCGAAUCUGCGGGGACCAUCCCGUAAGGCUAAAUACUCCCGAGAGACCGAUAGUGAACCAGUACCGUGAGGGAAAGGUGAAAAGAACCUCGAAUAGAGGAGUGAAAUAGACCCUGAACCCGUCUGCCUACAAGCGGUCGGAGCACCUUUAAGGUGUGACGGCGUGCCUUUUGCAUAAUGAACCUGCGAGUUGUUUUUUUUGGCAAGGUUAAGCAUCAGUAGGUGCGCAGCCGAAGCGAAAGCGAGUCUGAAUAGGGCGACUAAGUCAAAAGGAGCAGACGCGAAACCAAGUGAUCUACCGAUGGCCAGGCUGAAGGUUGGGUAACACCAACUGGAGGGCCGAAUGGAUAUACGUUGAAAAGUGUUCCAAUGAGCUGUGGGUAGGGGUGAAAGGCUAAUCAAACUUGGAGAUAGCUCGUACUCCCCGAAAUGCAUUUAGGUGCAGCCUCGGGUAAGGUACUGAUGAGAGGUAGAGCGACUGAUUGGAUGCGAGGGCUUCACCGCCUAUCAAGUCCGGCCAAACUCCGAAUGCUCAUCAGCAACAUCUCGGGAGUGAGGGCAUGGGUGCUAAGGUCCAUGUCCGAGAGGAGAAGAAUCCAGAUCACCGGCUAAGGUCCCCAAAUAGCAGCUAAGUUGCAUUAACGAAGUCCGACCGCAGCGACAGCCAGGAUGUUGGCUUGGAAGCAGCCAUUCAUUUAAAGAGUGCGUAACAGCUCACUGGUCGAGGGGUCGGGCAUGGAUAAUAAUCGGGCAUAAGCUGUUUACCGAAGCCGUGAGAUCGAAAAGAUCGGUAGGGGAGCAUUCCAUUACAGCGUUGAAGAUAAGGGGUGACCCUUGUUGGAGCGGAUGGAAAAGCAAAUGCAGGUAUAAGUAACGAUAAAGGGGGUGAAAAACCUCCUCGCCGAAAGACCAAGGGUUCCUGAUCAACGCUAAUCGGAUCAGGGUUAGUCGGGACCUAAGGCUAAGCCGAAGGGCGAUGCCAAUGGAAGAACCGGUUAAUAUUCCGGUACUGCUUUGUGGAGUGAUGUGGAGACGGAGAAGUGACAGCUCGGCCAUCUGACGGAAUAGGUGGUUAAAGGGUGUAGACGUUGAUUGUUGUAGGCAAAUCCGCAACAAGAGUUGAACCUGACAGUAUGCAGCGUACUUGUACAAUGUAAUAAGAGCGUAAUCAGGCUCCCAAGAAAACCCGCUAAACAUAUCUUCAAAGCACCCGUACUCGAAACGGACACACGUGGUCGGGUUGAAAAUACUAAGGCGCUCGAGUGAUUCACGGUUAAGGAACUAGGCAAAAUGGUCCUGUAACUUCGGGAUAAAGGACGCCAAUAGCAAUAUUGGUCGCAGAGAAUAGGCCCAGGCGACUGUUUAACAAAAACACAUGACUAUGCGAAAUCGAAAGAUGAGGUAUAUGGUCUGACACCUGCCCGGUGCUGGAAGGUUAAGAGGAGAUGUCAUCCUGCAAGGGAGAAGCAUUGAAUUGAAGCCCCAGUAAACGGCGGCCGUAACUAUAACGGUCCUAAGGUAGCGAAAUUCCUUGUCGGGUAAGUUCCGACCUGCACGAAUGGUGUAACGAUCUGGGCACUGUCUCAACUGUGAGCUCGGUGAAAUUGUAGUAUCGGUGAAGAUGCCGAUUACCCGCGAUGGGACGAAAAGACCCCGUGAACCUUUACUAUAGCUUUACAUUGAAAUUGGGCAUGCGAUGUGUAGGAUAGGCCGGAGGCUGAGAGACGGUGACGCCAGUCAUCGUGGAGCCACUGUUGAAAUACGGCCCUUUGUGUGUUUGGUUUCUAACUCCCGUGUUAGAGAGGACGGUGUAUGGUGGGUAGUUUGACUGGGGUGGUCGCCUCCAAAAGCGUAACGGAGGCUUCU
Molecule: ribosomal RNA, 2275 nt
Filed under: human metagenome
Description: bacterial LSU rRNA
Rfam family: Bacterial large subunit ribosomal RNA
Source: RNAcentral